Molecule: unclassified non-coding RNA, 147 nt
Filed under: uncultured fungus
Lineage: Eukaryota; Fungi
Description: sequence contains ITS1, 5.8S rRNA gene
Source: RNAcentral
UUUAUGUUUUGUAUUGAUUCAGACACAAACUAUUCUGCAUAAAUGCGGCGCCGGAGCGCCGAAGCACAUUUUGCUUCCACAGGUUUGAAGGUUGAAGGCCUCAUUGGCCAUUCAGUAAUGAUCCCUCCGCAGGUUCACCUACGGAGA